This 459-nucleotide ribosomal RNA is filed under the name uncultured bacterium. RNAcentral's name for it is "partial 16S ribosomal RNA". It matches the Rfam family "Bacterial small subunit ribosomal RNA", at positions 338 to 795 of the family's 1533-position model. The record is from RNAcentral.
CCUACGGGGGGCAGCAGUGAGGAAUAUUGGUCAAUGGGCGGAAGCCUGAACCAGCCAAGUCGCGUGAGGGAGUAAGGCCCUACGGGUCGUAAACCUCUUUUGCCGGGGCGCAGUGCCCAGCUCGUGAGCUGGGAGGGAGCGUACCCGGAGAAAAAGCAUCGGCUAACUCCGUGCCAGCAGCCGCGGUAAUACGGGGGAUGCGAGCGUUAUCCGGAUUUAUGGGGUUUAAAGGGUGCGUAGGCGGGCCUUCAGGCGGCGGUAAAAUUGCGGGGCUCAACCCCGCCGAGCCGUCGGAACCGGGGGCCAUGAGUACCGGAGAAGUACGCGGAAUGCGUGGUGUAGCGGUGAAAUGCAUAGAGAUCACGCAGAACCCCGAUUGCGAAGGCAGCAUACCGGCCGGUCACUGACGCUGAGGCACGAAAGCGCGGGUAUCGAACAGGAUUAGAUACCCUUGUAGUC